Molecule: long non-coding RNA, 99 nt
Organism: Etheostoma cragini (Arkansas darter)
Lineage: Eukaryota; Metazoa; Chordata; Actinopteri; Perciformes; Percidae
Exons: 4
Source: RefSeq, a predicted model, not a curated record
GUCAGCUUUUUACAUGUGAAUAUUCUCUAGUUUCUUCUCUCCUCUUUGACAGUCAAGUGAAUAUCUUUGAAGAGGUGUGGACAAAACAAGACAUUUUAG